GACGAACGCUGGCGGCGUGCUUAACACAUGCAAGUCGAACGGUAAGGCUCCAGGUUGCUGGGGUACACGAGUGGCGAACGGGGGAGUAACACGUGGGUGACCUGCCCUGCACUUCGGGAUAAGCCUGGGAAACUGGGGCUAAUACCGGAUAGGACCAUGGGGUGGGUAUUGUGGUGGAAAGUUUUUUCGGUGUGGGAUGGGUUCGCGGCCUAUCAGCUUGUUGGUGGGGUAAUGGCCUACCAAGGCGGCGACGGGUAGCCGGCCUGAGAGGGUGGACGGCCACAUUGGGACUGAGACACGGCCCAGACUCCUACGGGAGGCAGCAGUGGGGAAUAUUGCACAAUGGGCGGAAGCCUGAUGCAGCGACGCCGCGUGGGGGAUGACGGCCUUCGGGUUGUAAACUCCUUUCACCAUCGACGAAGGGUUUCUGACGGUAGAUGGAGAAGAAGCACCGGCUAACUACGUG
Molecule: ribosomal RNA, 466 nt
Filed under: uncultured bacterium
Lineage: Bacteria
Description: partial 16S ribosomal RNA
Rfam family: Bacterial small subunit ribosomal RNA
Source: RNAcentral